AUACGGAGGGUCCGAGCGUUAAUCGGAAUUACUGGGCGUAAAGCGCGCGUAGGCGGAUAUUUAAGUCAGAUGUGAAAUCCCUGGGCUCAACCUAGGAACUGCAUUUGAAACUGGAUAUCUAGAGUAUGGUAGAGGUGAGUGGAAUUUCAGGCGUAGCGGUGAAAUGCGUAGAGAUCUGAAGGAACAUCAGUGGCGAAGGCGACUCACUGGGCCAUUACUGACGCUGAGGUGCGAAAGCGUGGGUAGCAAACAGGAUUAGAAACCCCGGUAGUCC
RNAcentral lists this ribosomal RNA (274 nucleotides) under uncultured bacterium. Its description in RNAcentral is "partial 16S ribosomal RNA". It matches the Rfam family "Bacterial small subunit ribosomal RNA", at positions 523 to 796 of the family's 1533-position model. The record is from RNAcentral.